Molecule: ribosomal RNA, 460 nt
Filed under: uncultured bacterium
Lineage: Bacteria
Description: partial 16S ribosomal RNA
Rfam family: Bacterial small subunit ribosomal RNA
Source: RNAcentral
CCUACGGGAGGCAGCAGUGAGGAAUAUUGGUCAAUGGACGAGAGUCUGAACCAGCAAAGUAGCGUGAAGGAUGACUGCCCUAUGGGUUGUAAACUUCUUUUAUAAAGGAAUAAAACGAGGCACGUGUGCCUUUUUGCAUGUACUUUAUGAAUAAGGAUCGGCUAACUCCGUGCCAGCAGCCGCGGUAAUACGGAGGAUCCGAGCGUUAUCCGGAUUUAUUGGGUUUAAAGGGAGCGUAGAUGGGUUGUUAAGUCAGUUGUGAAAGUUUGCGGCUCAACCGUAAAAUUGCAAUUGAUACUGGCAGUCGUGAGUACAGUUGAGGUAGGCGGAAUUCGUGGUGUAGCGGUGAAAUGCUUAGAUAUCACGAAGAACCCCGAUUGCGAAGGCAGCUUACUAAACUGUGACUGACAUUGAUGCUCGAAAGUGUGGGUAUCAAACAGGAUUAGAUACCCCUGUAGUC